Molecule: non-coding RNA, 45 nt
Organism: Schistosoma haematobium
Lineage: Eukaryota; Metazoa; Platyhelminthes; Trematoda; Strigeidida; Schistosomatidae
Source: Rfam
GUCCAACUGACGAGUCCCAAAUAGGACGAAACACGCGUCCUGAAU